RNAcentral lists this ribosomal RNA (1508 nucleotides) under uncultured bacterium. RNAcentral describes it as "bacterial SSU rRNA". It matches the Rfam family "Bacterial small subunit ribosomal RNA". The record is from RNAcentral.
AGAGUUUGAUCCUGGCUCAGAACGAACGCUGGCGGCGUGCUUAACACAUGCAAGUCGAAUGCGACACUAUUUUCGAAUAGUGUAGCAUGGCAGACGGGUGAGUAACGCGUAACCGACCUGUCUCUUGAUGGGGGAUAGCCCCGCGAAAGCGGGGGUAAUACCGCAUAAGCUCUCUGGAUGAGAACAUCCAGAGAGGAAAACCGGCCUCUGCGAGCAAGCCGGUGUCAAGAGAGGGGGUUGCGUCCCAUUAGCUGGUUGGUGGGGUAAUGGCCCACCAGGGCUACGAUGGGUAGCUGGUCUGAGAGGAUGAUCAGCCACACUGGGACUGAGAGACGGCCCAGACUCCUACGGGAGGCAGCAGUGGGGAAUUUUGCGCAAUGGGCGCAAGCCUGACGCAGCAACGCCGCGUAAGUGAAGACGCCCUUCGGGGCGUAAAGCUUUGUAAGCAGGGACGAACAGUAUACAGAAGAUGUAUACUUGACGGUACCUCUAGAGGAAGCCCCGGCUAACUCCGUGCCAGCAGCCGCGGUAACACGGAGGGGGCGAGCGUUGUUCGGAAUUACUGGGCGUAAAGCGCGCGUAGGCGGCCCUACAAGUGAAACGUGAAAGCCCCCGGCUCAACCGGGGAUGUGCGUUUCAAACUGUAGGGCUAGAGUUUCGGAGGGGGAUGCGGAAUUCCUGGUGGAGCGGUGAAAUGCGUAGAGAUCAGGAAGAACGUCGGUGGCGAAGGCGGCAUUCUAGACGAAAACUGACGCUGAUGUGCGAGAGCGUGGGGAGCGAACGGGAUUAGAUACCCCGGUAGUCCACGCCGUAAACGAUGGGCACUAGGUGUGGGAGAGGAGACUCUUUCCGCGCCGGAGCAAACGCAGUAAGUGCCCCGCCUGGGGAGUACGGCCGCAAGGCUGAAACUCAAAGGAAUUGACGGGGGCCCGCACAAGCGGUGGAGCAUGUGGUUUAAUUCGACGCAACGCGAAGAACCUUACCUGGGCUUGACAUCCUUUGUGUUCUGACAAAGUCGGAAUUGCUCUUUAGAGAACAAAGUGACAGGUGCUGCAUGGCUGUCGUCAGCUCGUGCCGUGAGGUGUUGGGUUAAGUCCCGCAACGAGCGCAACCCUUAUCCUUAGUUGCCAGCGGUAAUUGGGCACUCUAAGGAAACUGCCGGGGUAACCCGGAGGAAGGUGGGGAUGACGUCAAGUCCUCAUGGCCCUUAUGUCCAGGGCUACACACGUGCUACAAUGGCUGGUACAGAGCGCUGCGACCCCGCAAGGGGUAGCAAAUCGCGAAAACCAGCCUUAGUUCGGAUUGGAGUCUGCAACUCGACUUCAUGAAGCUGGAAUCGCUAGUAAUCGCGGAUCAGCAUGCAGCGGUGAAUACGUUCCCGGGCCUUGUACACACCGCCCGUCACGCCAUGGGAGUUGGGUGCUCCUGAAGUGGCCACGCUAACCCGCAAGGGAAGCAGGGCCCCAGGGAGUGUUUGGUGACUGGGGUGAAGUCGUAACAAGGUAACC